UGUCUGAGUGUACUUUGGAGUCGGGUUGUUUGAGAAUGCAGCCCCAAAGUGGGUGGUAAACUCCCAUUCCAAGGCUCAAUACUGGCACGAGUCCGAUAGCGAACAAGUACCGUGAGGGAAAGUUGAAAAAGUACUCUGAAGAGAGAGUAAACACAGUACGUGAACCGCGCAAGGUAAACGGGUAGAGUUGAACUGCAAGCCUGCAAGAUUCAGCUGGUUUGGUUGCAAGGUUGGUGGUCCGUGCAGUAUCGGGUCAGUGCUCCUUGUGGGUGCUGUCGGAUGUGUGCUUAUCAGUGCGCAAUCCGCUGCCUUUCCUGUGUUGCCUGGCUAGUGCACUUCUUGUGGGUCUUCAUCACGACCGGCGCUGCUGUCAGUCUGCCUUGUCUAAACCAGUUGGGCUCGGUCCUUGUGGCCUUGUUCGGCUGGGAUGGCAGGUAGCCUGUUGGUUACUUCGGUGGCCUUCGGGUGUAAUAGCCAGACUUGGUGCGAUCUGUGCAGUGUGUCGGAGAUGGCGGUUGUAAUGGGUGGCGUGGAUGCCGGCUUUGUCUGGGCUUGAGUUGGUUGCCUUCCUGGUGGUCUUCUCUUGUGUUGGGCUCUGUUGGUUCUCUGCGUUGCUUUUAAUGGCCGAUAGUCUGUGAUGUAGUGGUAUGCUCUCUUCCCGACCCGUCUUGAAACACGGACCAAGGAGUUUAACAUGUGCGCGAGUCAUUGGGUAUUACGAAACCUACAGGCGCAAUGAAAGUGAAGGUUCGGCUUGUCUGAACUUAGGUGAGAUCCGGGCGUAUCUGUGUGCCUCUCGGGGUAUGCGGUGCGUUUGGCGCAUCACCGGCCCGUCCCAUGGUGUGGUCACGGCUCCUUGUGGGUUGUGCAUCACCGGGGUGGAGCAUGAGCGUACAUGUUGAGACCCGAAAGAUGGUGAACUAUGCUUGUGCAGGUUGAAGCCAGAGGAAACUCUGGUGGAGGACCGCAGCGAUUCUGACGUGCAAAUCGAUCGUCAAAC
This 1000-nucleotide ribosomal RNA is filed under the name unidentified. RNAcentral's name for it is "Lecithochirium sp. DA-2022 partial large subunit ribosomal RNA". It matches the Rfam family "Eukaryotic large subunit ribosomal RNA", at positions 245 to 910 of the family's 3401-position model. The record is from RNAcentral.